CGCACGAGCGCACCCUUGCCCUAUGUUGCCAGCGGGUUAUGCCGGGGACUCAUGGGGAACUGCCGGUGAUAAACCGGAGGAAGGUGGGGACGACGUCAAGUCAUCAUGGCCCUUACGCCCAGGGCUACACACGUGCUACAAUGGCCGGUACAAAGGGCUGCAAUCCCGCGAGGGGGAGCGAAUCCCAAAAAGCCGGUCUAAGUUCGGAUUGUAGUCUGCAACUCGACUGCAUGAAGUCGGAAUCGCUAGUAAUCGUGUAUCAGCAACGACACGGUGAAUACGUUCCCGGGCCUUGUACACACCGCCCGUCAAGCCAUGGAAGCCGGGAGUGCCCGAAGUCCGUGAUCCAACUCCGUGAGGAAGCGGCCGAAGGUAAGUUCGGUGACUGGGGCUAAGUCGUAACAAGGUAGCCGUAGGGGAACCUGCGGCUGGAUCACCUCCUUU
RNAcentral lists this ribosomal RNA (444 nucleotides) under uncultured Gammaproteobacteria bacterium. Its description in RNAcentral is "bacterial SSU rRNA". It matches the Rfam family "Bacterial small subunit ribosomal RNA", at positions 1088 to 1533 of the family's 1533-position model. The record is from RNAcentral. Lineage: Bacteria; Pseudomonadati; Pseudomonadota; Gammaproteobacteria.